CGGAACAGUGGCGAACGGGUGAGUAACACGUGGGUGAUCUGCCCUGCACUUCGGGAUAAGCCUGGGAAACUGGGUCUAAUACCGGAUAUGACCUCAGGAUGCAUGUUCUGGGGUGGAAAGCUUUUGCGGUGUGGGAUGGGCCCGCGGCCUAUCAGCUUGUUGGUGGGGUUAAGGCCUACCAAGGCGACGACGGGUAGCCGGCCUGAGAGGGUGUCCGGCCACACUGGGACUGAGAUACGGCCCAGACUCC
RNAcentral lists this ribosomal RNA (250 nucleotides) under uncultured bacterium. Its description in RNAcentral is "partial 16S ribosomal RNA". It matches the Rfam family "Bacterial small subunit ribosomal RNA", at positions 88 to 339 of the family's 1533-position model. The record is from RNAcentral.